RNAcentral lists this ribosomal RNA (842 nucleotides) under uncultured bacterium. Its description in RNAcentral is "bacterial SSU rRNA". It matches the Rfam family "Bacterial small subunit ribosomal RNA", at positions 60 to 933 of the family's 1533-position model. The record is from RNAcentral.
AGUCGACGAUGAAUCUUCUAGCUUGCUAGAAGUGGAUUAGUGGCGCACGGGUGAGUAAUGCAUAGGUUAUGUGCCCUUUAGUCUGGGAUAGCCACUGGAAACGGUGAUUAAUACUGGAUACUCCCUACGGGGGAAAGUUUUUCGCUAAAGGAUCAGCCUAUGUCCUAUCAGCUUGUUGGUGAGGUAAUGGCUCACCAAGGCUGUGACGGGUAUCCGGCCUGAGAGGGUGAUCGGACACACUGGAACUGAGACACGGUCCAGACUCCUACGGGAGGCAGCAGUAGGGAAUAUUGCUCAAUGGGGGAAACCCUGAAGCAGCAACGCCGCGUGGAGGAUGAAGGUUUUAGGAUUGUAAACUCCUUUUGUUAGAGAAGAUUAUGACGGUAUCUAACGAAUAAGCACCGGCUAACUCCGUGCCAGCAGCCGCGGUAAUACGGGGGGUGCAAGCGUUACUCGGAAUCACUGGGCGUAAAGAGUGCGUAGGCGGGGUAAUAAGUCAGAUGUGAAAUCCUGUAGCUUAACUACAGAACUGCAUUUGAAACUGUUACUCUGGAGUGUGGGAGAGGUAGGUGGAAUUCUUGGUGUAGGGGUAAAAUCCGUAGAGAUCAAGAGGAAUACUCAUUGCGAAGGCGACCUGCUGGAACAUUACUGACGCUGAUGCACGAAAGCGUGGGGAGCAAACAGGAUUAGAUACCCUGGUAGUCCACGCCCUAAACGAUGGACGCUAGUUGUUGCCUUGCUUGUCAGGGCAGUAAUGCAGCUAACGCAUUAAGCAUCCCGCCUGGGGAGUACGGUCGCAAGAUUAAAACUCAAAGGAAUAGACGGGGACCCGCACAAGCGGU